UUACGACCACAUCACGUUAAAACAACGGUUCCUGUAAGAUCACCGAGAUUAAGUAACGUGGAACCUGGCCAGUACUUAGAUGGGUGACCACUAGGGAAUAUCAGGUGCUGUAAG
Acanthosepion pharaonis is the source of this 114-nucleotide non-coding RNA. The record is from the annotation of a GenBank genome assembly. NCBI's taxonomy places the organism in Eukaryota, Metazoa, Mollusca, Cephalopoda, Sepiida, Sepiidae.